This 207-nucleotide ribosomal RNA is filed under the name Amanita ponderosa. Its description in RNAcentral is "partial 28S ribosomal RNA". It matches the Rfam family "Eukaryotic large subunit ribosomal RNA", at positions 1 to 204 of the family's 3401-position model. Lineage: Eukaryota; Fungi; Basidiomycota; Agaricomycetes; Agaricales; Amanitaceae. The record is from RNAcentral.
UUGACCUCAAAUCANGUAGGACUACCCGCUGAACUUAAGCAUAUCAAUAAGCGGAGGANAAGAAACUAACAAGGAUUCCCCUAGUAACUGCGAGUGAAGUGGGAAAAGCUCAAAUUUAAAAUCUGACAGUCUUUGACUGUCUGAGUUGUAACCUANAGAAGUGCUACCUGUGCUGGACCAUGUAUAAGUCUCCUGGAAUGGAGUGUC